GAUGAAGAACGUAGCGAAAUGCGAUAAGUAAUGCGAAUUGCAGAAUCCGUGAGUCAUCGAAUCUUUGAACGCACAUUGCGCCCUUUGGUAUUCCGAAGGGCAUGCCUGUUCGAGCGUCAUUAUCACCCCUCAAGCCCCGGCUUGGUGUUGGGCUCUCGGUGGUCGUCUCCGACCACCCGUCUCAAAGAUAGUGACGGCGUCCCAGAGGGAACCGGUACGAGGAGCUUUCACGAGCAUGUACGCGGGACGACUCUGCGGGCGACGGUCUUAUUUACUUUAUAUACAAGUGUUGACCUCGGAUCAGGUAGGAAUACCCGCUGAACUUAAGCAUAUCAAUAAGCGGAGGA
This 347-nucleotide unclassified non-coding RNA is filed under the name soil metagenome. Its description in RNAcentral is "partial contains 5.8S ribosomal RNA, internal transcribed spacer 2, and large subunit ribosomal RNA". The stretch from base 1 to 119 matches the Rfam family "5.8S ribosomal RNA", at positions 35 to 154 of the family's 154-position model. The record is from RNAcentral.